UACGGGGGGGGCGAGCGUUGUCCGAAGUUACUGGGCGUAAAGCGCGUGUAGGCGGGUUGUUAAGUCCGCUGUGAAAGCCCGGUGCUCAACGCCGGAGGGUCGGUGGAUACUGGCAGUCUUGAAGUGGCUAGGGGGAAAUGGAAUUACCGGUGUAGCGGUGAAAUGCGUAGAUAUCGGUAGGAACACCAGUGGCGAAGGCGGUUUCCUGGAGCUAACUUGACGCUGAGACGCGAAAGCUGGGGGAGCAAACGGG
This 253-nucleotide ribosomal RNA is filed under the name uncultured bacterium. RNAcentral describes it as "partial 16S ribosomal RNA". It matches the Rfam family "Bacterial small subunit ribosomal RNA", at positions 524 to 776 of the family's 1533-position model. The record is from RNAcentral. RNAcentral also lists the same sequence under 2 other names.